This 528-nucleotide long non-coding RNA is filed under the name Calidris pugnax (ruff). RNAcentral describes it as "lncRNA (ENSCPUG00000006731.1)". Lineage: Eukaryota; Metazoa; Chordata; Aves; Charadriiformes; Scolopacidae. The record is from RNAcentral.
AAGAAAAUAAUGCAAACAGCUAACUCAAUUUCAUUUUACAGCUUAAAGUCUGUGUUUACAGAAAAGUUCCUUCUGUUGCUUUUCCAUAGGCUCUUUAUUCCCGUCAGGUGAUGAACAGAGGAUGAACAGCUUAUGGACCUUAGGUUAUGGGCAUAAUAAAUGUUCAAAACACUUCCAAAAUACAUGCAAAUGACAAAGCUUUACUCCUGAGUGAGACAACAGCCUGUGGUAAACGCAUGUGAUCCUGAAGUUGAAGAUCAUGCCAUGUUGCUAUCCUUAUUUCACAAAAUUUUGGGAAGAUCAUUGCUGUUCUACCUCAUGGCUUAAAGGAAGGGGGAAGAAGCUCGGACAUCACCUGUGAGACUGCUCAGCUCUUAUUGGAGCUCCAUGGUGUUGGAUGCAGCUAAGAGCAACUCAAAGAGUCAGAUGAAGAUGCCAAGAGGAGUAUUUUCACAGAACUGCAGAAUGACAGGAACGGUGAUUGGUAUUUCCCAAGGUCAUCUAGUCCAAAACACCAGUUUGAAGUGA